RNAcentral lists this ribosomal RNA (253 nucleotides) under uncultured bacterium. RNAcentral describes it as "partial 16S ribosomal RNA". It matches the Rfam family "Bacterial small subunit ribosomal RNA", at positions 524 to 776 of the family's 1533-position model. The record is from RNAcentral.
UACAGAGGUGGCAAGCGUUGUUCGGAAUUACUGGGCGUAAAGGGCUCGUAGGUGGCCAACUAAGUCAGACGUGAAAUCCCCGAGCUCAACUCGGGAACUGCGUCCGAUACUGGUGGGCUUGAAUCCGGGAGAGGGAUGCGGAAUUCCAGGUGUAGCGGUGAAAUGCGUAGAUAUCUGGAGGAACACCGGUGGCGAAGGCGGCAUCCUGGACCGGCAUUGACGCUGAGGCGCGAAAGCUAGGGGAGCAAACGGG